RNAcentral lists this ribosomal RNA (730 nucleotides) under uncultured bacterium. Its description in RNAcentral is "bacterial SSU rRNA". It matches the Rfam family "Bacterial small subunit ribosomal RNA", at positions 771 to 1501 of the family's 1533-position model. The record is from RNAcentral.
AACAGGAUUAGAUACCCUGGUAGUCCACGCCGUAAACGAUGUCGACUUGGAGGUUGUGCCCUUGAGGCGUGGCUUCCGGAGCUAACGCGUUAAGUCGACCGCCUGGGGAGUACGGCCGCAAGGUUAAAACUCAAAUGAAUUGACGGGGGCCCGCACAAGCGGUGGAGCAUGUGGUUUAAUUCGAUGCAACGCGAAGAACCUUACCUGGUCUUGACAUCCACAGAACUUUCCAGAGAUGGAUUGGUGCCUUCGGGAACUGUGAGACAGGUGCUGCAUGGCUGUCGUCAGCUCGUGUUGUGAAAUGUUGGGUUAAGUCCCGCAACGAGCGCAACCCUUAUCCUUUGUUGCCAGCGGUCCGGCCGGGAACUCAAAGGAGACUGCCAGUGAUAAACUGGAGGAAGGUGGGGAUGACGUCAAGUCAUCAUGGCCCUUACGACCAGGGCUACACACGUGCUACAAUGGCGCAUACAAAGAGAAGCGACCUCGCGAGAGCAAGCGGACCUCAUAAAGUGCGUCGUAAUCCGGAUUGGAGUCUGCAACUCGACUCCAUGAAGUCGGAAUCGCUAGUAAUCGUGGAUCAGAGUGCCACGGUGAAUACGUUCCCGGGCCUUGUACACACCGCCCGUCACACCAUGGGAGUGGGUUGCAAAAGAAGUAGGUAGCUUAACCUUCGGGAGGGCGCUUACCACUUUGUGAUUCAUGACUGGGGUGAAGUCGUAACAAGGUAACC